RNAcentral lists this ribosomal RNA (492 nucleotides) under uncultured bacterium. RNAcentral's name for it is "partial 16S ribosomal RNA". It matches the Rfam family "Bacterial small subunit ribosomal RNA", at positions 29 to 507 of the family's 1533-position model. The record is from RNAcentral.
AGUGAACGCUGGCGGUAGGCCUAACACAUGCAAGUCGAACGGCAGCACAGUAAGAGCUUGCUCUUACGGGUGGCGAGUGGCGGACGGGUGAGGAAUACAUCGCAAUCUACUUUUUCGUGGGGGAUAACGUAGGGAAACUUACGCUAAUACCGCAUACGACCUACGGGUGAAAGCAGGGGAUCUUCGGACCUUGCGCGAUUGAAUGAGCCGAUGUCGGAUUAGCUAGUUGGCGGGGUAAAGGCCCACCAAGGCGACGAUCCGUAGCUGGUCUGAGAGGAUGAUCAGCCACACUGGAACUGAGACACGGUCCAGACUCCUACGGGAGGCAGCAGCGGGGAAUAUUGGACAAUGGGCGCAAGCCUGAUCCAGCCAUACCGCGUGGGUGAAGAAGGCCUUCGGGUUGUAAAGCCCUUUUGUUGGGAAAGAAAAGCAGCAGGUUAAUACCCCGCUGUUCUGACGGUACCCAAAGAAUAAGCACCGGCUAACUUCGUG